RNAcentral lists this long non-coding RNA (1812 nucleotides) under Anser cygnoides (Swan goose). RNAcentral's name for it is "lncRNA (ENSACDG00005014640.1)". The record is from RNAcentral. Lineage: Eukaryota; Metazoa; Chordata; Aves; Anseriformes; Anatidae.
CCCCCCGCCGAUAACUCCUCAACCGCGGGGGCCGGAACAACGUCGGCGCGCCUCCGCCACCGCCACCCCCACCGCCGCGGUGCCGGCUUUUGGCGGGGAUGAUGUCAUCGCCAUCGUCAUCGGUGACGUCAUCGUCGGGGGGGGCCAAUCCCAGGGCCCCCCCCGCCACCGCCAUGGCCGCCGCCGCCUCCUCCUUGCGCUUCUGCUCCACGUCGCGGAUGAUGUCGACCACGUCGUCGGCCGGCAGGUGCAGGCGGCUCGAGAGCUCGAUCAGUUGGUCGAUGGUGCCCGGGUCCAGUGGCGCGUCUGGCGCCGCCUCCUCGUCAUCCUCAUCAUCUUCAUCCGCCGGCCGCACCGCCUCCGCCAGCUCCUGGGCCAGCGGGGGGACGGCGGCGCGGCUGGGGGCGUCUUCGCGGUUGGGGACGUUGGCGCGGUUGAAGACGUCAUCACGGUUGACGUCGUCGCGGUUGGGGGCGUCACCGCGGUUGAAGACGUCAUCGCGGUUGGGGACGUUGGCACGGUUGGGGACAUUGGCACGGAAGGGGAUGCCAUCGCGGUUGACGUCAUCGCGGUUGCGGAUGUCUUCGCGGUUGACGUCAUCGCCACGGUUGGGGAUGUCGUCACGCAUGGAGAUGACGUCACCGCGCAUCGGCAUCCCGCCACGCAUGGAGUUGUCACCACGCAUGGGGACAUCGCCACGCAUGGGGACACCGCCGCGUGUCAGCAUCUUGCCACGCCGGGGGACGUCGCCGCGCACGGAGAUGUCACCGCGCAUGGAGAUCUCAUUGGUCAUGGGCACCUCGUUGGCCAUGGCGACCUCGUUGGCCGUUGGGAUCUUCUUGCCCAUGAAGAUCCUGUUGCCUACAGGGAUCUUUUUGCCCAUGAAGACCUCGUUGGCCAUGGGGAUCUUGUUGGCCAUGGGGACUUCAUUGGCCAUGGGGAUCUCAUUGGUCAUGGGGAUCUCGUUGUUCAUGAGGACUUCGUUGUCCAUGGGGACCUCGUUGUCCAUGGGGAUCUCAUUGUCCAUUGGGAUCUCAUUGUCCAUGGGGAUCUCAUUGUCCAUGAGGAACCCAUUGCCUACGGGGAUCUCCUUGCCCAUGGGGAUCUCCUUACCCAUGGGGAUCAUCUUGCCCAUUGGGAUCUCCUCACCCAUCAGCAUCUUCUUGCCCAUUGGGAUCAUCUUGCCCAUUGGGACCUCCUCGCCCAUUGGGAUCUUCUUGCCCAUGGAGAACCCUUUACCCAUUGGGACCGUCUUGCUCAUCGGGAUCGCCUUGCCCAUCGGGAUCGCCUUGCUCAUGGAGAUCGCCUCGCCCCCGGCGCUCGCCCUCCCCACGCCGCCCCUCUCCCCACCUCUCCCCCCCUCUCCCCCAACCUCUCCCACCUCCCCCCCUUCCUCCUCCUCUUCCUCCUCCUCCUCCUCCUCCUCCGACCUCUUAUCCUGGGCGGCCGCGGCGGGCCCGUGGAGGAGGUAGCGCAGCAGGAGGUCGGAGGCCAGGUCGGCCAGGCGCUCCUCCUCGGCGGCGGCCUUGCGGGCGGCCUGGGCCUGCCGCCGGCUCUCGGCCAGCUCCUGGUAGCGCCGCUCCAGCAGCCGCUGCUCCAGGCUCUGCUGCUGCCGCAGCUGCCGGGCGCUGGCCCAGCUUCGGCCUCCUCCUCCUCCUCCUCGCUCCCGGUCCCGCUUGGCCUCCGCUCGCAGCCUCCCCAGCUCCUCCAGCUCCUUCAGGACUUCGUCCGGCGGCGAGGAAGAGGAGGAGGAAGGGAUUUGGGGAGGGGGGAANNNNNNNNNNNNNNNNNNNNNNNNNNNNNNNNNNNNNN